This 492-nucleotide ribosomal RNA is filed under the name uncultured bacterium. RNAcentral describes it as "partial 16S ribosomal RNA". It matches the Rfam family "Bacterial small subunit ribosomal RNA", at positions 29 to 507 of the family's 1533-position model. The record is from RNAcentral.
AGUGAACGCUGGCGGUAGGCCUAACACAUGCAGGUCGAACGGCAGCACAGUAAGAGCUUGCUCUUACGGGUGGCGAGUGGCGGACGGGUGAGGAAUACAUCGGAAUCUACUUUUUCGUGGGGGAUAACGUAGGGAAACUUACGCUAAUACCGCAUACGACCUACGGGUGAAAGCAGGGGAUCUUCGGACCUUGCGCGAUUGAAUGAGCCGAUGUCGGAUUAGCUAGUUGGCGGGGUAAAGGCCCACCAAGGCGACGAUCCGUAGCUGGUCUGAGAGGAUGAUCAGCCACACUGGAACUGAGAUACGGUCCAGACUCCUACGGGAGGCAGCAGUGGGGAAUAUUGGACAAUGGGCGCAAGCCUGAUCCAGCCAUACCGCGUGGGUGAAGAAGGCCUUCGGGUUGUAAAGCCCUUUUGUUGGGAAAGAAAAGCAGCAGGUUAAUACCCCGCUGUUCUGACGGUACCCAAAGAAUAAGCACCGGCUAACUUCGUG